Molecule: long non-coding RNA, 1044 nt
Filed under: Gossypium barbadense (sea-island cotton)
Lineage: Eukaryota; Viridiplantae; Streptophyta; Magnoliopsida; Malvales; Malvaceae
Description: long non-coding RNA (GBAR_LNC012913)
Source: RNAcentral
CAGUCUCUGGCUUUGAAGAACAUCUUCAGAACGUUGCUCCUGGUGAACCAAAAAAAGAAUAUGAAGAAAUAGAAGAAUUGAAGAUGGAGACCAAUGCGGAGCUGCCUGUUCUGGAUGCAAGAUCGGUUGAAGAUAUUGAUUUGGCUUUUAAGCAACUUCAUGAAGGUGUAGAUGUUGAGGAAGUAGUACUUGCAAGCAUGAUUGAGGAUCAGCUGGGUCAUGAAGAUUCCACUUCAAAGUUACCUGUUGUCGAGGCAAGAUCUCUGGAGGAUAUACAUAAUGCUUUCCAAAAAGGUCCAGAACCUAAUCUGGCCGAGCUGCCACUUUCCACAGACUUGAGAAAUGGAUCAUCAGAAAUGGAGCAGCAUGAUGCGGUUUCUAAUAAAGAGAUUGAAGUUGAAAAUAGUCAGAAUGCUGCCAGUGAACCAAAAAAUGACCAUGAAGAAACAGAGGAAAUGAAGAUGGAGACCAAUGCAGAGCUGCCUGUUCUUGAAGCAAGAUCACUGGAAGACAUUGAUUUGGCUUUUAAGCAACUUCAUGGAGGAGUUGAUGUUGAGGAAGUAAUUCUUCCAAGCAUGAUUGAGAAUCAGCAGGGUGAUGCAGAUACCAAUUCGGAUUUACCAGUUGUUGAGGCGAGAUCUCUGGAGGAUAUACAGAGUGCUUUUCAACAAGGCCCUGAAUCUAAUCUAGCUGAGGUGCCACAUUCCUCAGGAGUAGAGCAUCAUGAUGUGGUUUCUACUGAAGAGAUUGAUGGUAGUAGUCCCGUCUCUGGUAUUCAAGCAAUGAGUGAGAAUGCUGCUGGUGGACCGAAAAAUGAAUACAAAGAAAUGGUAGAAAAAGAGAUGGAGACUGAGGUGGUGCUACCUUUACUUGAAGCAAAAUCAGUGGAAGACAUCGAUGUGGCAUUUAAGCAACUUCAUGAAGGGGUAGAUGUGGAGGAAAUAAUUAUUCCAAGUAUGAUUGUGAACCAACAGGUUCAUGCAGACACCAGUUCAACAUUACCUGUUGUCGAGGCAAGAUCUCUGGAGGAUAUACAUAAUGCUU